UCUUGCAUGUGUAGCAGAGGCUGAAUGAGAUGUGUAGGACAGCAGUCAUGCACUCAGCUGGUAUAUGACUGUAAUAUUUCUGUAAGGGAUCUGGGAUCUUGCAAAUCCUGGUGACUAGAGGGGAACGGGUGUAUACUCAGUGCAUUCUCAUUACCAAGUCCUAAAAUGUUAGCGAGUUAUUCUUGUGUAGUACUCAGUAAUGCUAAUUUGCUCCAGUUCCUGAAGAAAUUAAGGUUUGCUCAGAGCGGCAUGGAAGGUACUCAGCCUUGAGCUAAUGUAAGCCUUAAACAGGAUAUGCCACAUCUGGACUAUGUCAAACACGGAAAGUGGAUGUAAAGGAAGGAGAGAGAGUUAUGGUGCCUUUAAUACAGAAAGCCACAUUGGUAGCAGAGAGGCCAUCAAAUCCCUUAAGAAAGGAGGGAAAUAGAAGACUUCUGAGAGACAUUUGGAUAUUUUUAAGCCUUCUCAGAGCAGGUUGCAUCAACACCCUGCCUCAUUUGUAAGGAACAUCUGGAGCGGCAUUUACCUCCUCUAACUUUGGCAGUCUUCAUGUGAGCUUGUCAUCUGCACUUCUUUUGUCAUCAGUGUAAAGAAAUGGGUACCUGCAGGGUUUGAAGCACCAAGCCUACUCUAGCUGCCUACAUGAGUGAGGGUGGAUGAUAUCUAAAAGUGUGAAUGUGUUCUCACUGGCUAUAAAAUAUGCUUGACAAACGGCCACUCUUGGUCUGUUUCUCCCAGUUAUUAGAUGUAGUGUUGUAUUUAUUUACUGUGCCUUUACUUGUUGGUAUUCCCACACUUUUACUCCCAGCUCAUCAUUCUCUAUUUCUGCAUUUCUCAGUGUAGGCAAGGAAGUCUGGACUUCUUCACAAAGCAAUUCUGUUCCAAAAAGACUUUCUGAGGGCCAACAGCCUGACCCCACUCACAUAAGAGAGGUUCUGUGAUUCUGUGAUUCUGUUAGGAGCUAUCUGUAGUUGACUGCACUGUGCACAGGGCUGCAGCACAACACUGUGGCUGUUCUGCUCCAGAACUCUUCAUGGCAGCUGUACAUUCAGGUCCCUCCAUUAGGUUCAAAAAAUUUGUCUACAAAUUCAUAAAAUAGCAUAUGAAUCCAAAGAUACCACUUCUGGGCCAAGAAACCCCUGAGUGCAGAUAACUGGUAGUGGGAAGAUAAUAUUUGCCCUGUUAUUCCAUUCUUCCAUAGGCACCUGAUGUUGGCUGCCCAACACAAUGCUGGAAUGGUGAUUUGUUGGAAAGACCUGUUAUGAUCAUUUUUAUGUUCUCAUUUUCAGAAGCGUCUCUCUAAACAAAACCUGAGGAAUAGUUACCUAAUGGGAUCUCUUCCAUCUCAUACUGCUGAGAAUCCUCAACUGUGAGUGUAGGUUAGGGUACCUGAUUCUACUUCUACUCACUCUACUGGCAAUAUUCAGGCUUUAUAACUCCUGCAAGUCAUAUGCUGAGUAUAAACUAGAGGAUUCUGCUUUUUCUAGAGAGAAAUACCUAUUAUGUUGCAGAGGGUGAGUUUAGCAUACUCAGGUUUUCUUUAUUCGUGAUUUGUGACUGCUCCAAGUACAGACUUCCUUCUUGCUCCUUGAUUAGCAAGUUCUAGCAGCCUAGCAAAGUCACACAAUUUAUUACUGCUAUAGAGGUUAAUGGAUCACUUUACAUGUUGAUAAUGUCUUAUUAUUGCCUUGGAUAUUAAAAUGAAUGUAGCUCAGACACCAGGACUCGGUAGUAACAUCAAGCAUGUUUAUUUGAUUACAGCAAGGAUGAAAAAUGCAGUGUGCAGAGUGCACUUGGUGGUUGAAACAAAUUCAUCACAACCACUUAUUACACCCAACCAUCUUUUUUACACCCUGCAAAUUACCCUUCUUUUCCACACAUUGCCUCUAUUGACCAUGAGAAUGGCUAUUGUUUAUCAGUAUUGAUGGUGUGAGAAAAAAACAAGGUUAAUGGUGUGAUUGCUGCAAGAAUGGACCAGUAAUAACACCUAUCUAUACUAGAGAGUGCCAGAAGUAGAUGCAAAGGUACACCUCACCCUUGGCACUGAAGAUCUCCAUCCUAAACAUUCGUAGUCUGGAUUAUUCAGCUUCUGUGUUGAAGUACUAUAGACAGAAUGGAAUAAAUCACCGUGUUGGAAUUACAGAAGUUAGAUUUCUACUCUUUUUCAUCUGGGAUGGUGCUGCUCAAUUUUUUCAUAUCCUUUUUGUCUAUUUCCCUGUCUGCAAAAUGAUGAGGAAAAGAGUUGUAUCAUAUUGCAGCUGCUUUUCUUGCUGCUUCUCUAUUGUUACUGAAAAUCAGGUUACUUCAAUGUUCCUCCAUUGACAGUUCAGCUUCAGGGGCUGCAAUAUGUGGGCAUCAUUUCAAAUCCUUAUAGGAACAAGGUGGCCUGGUCUGCCUGGGAGUGCCAAGGUGUUCAUGGAGCCCUGCCUCCUUGUGCCACCAUUUGGUCAAGGGAGCUGACCUCAUUUUGAAGUCUCAAAGGUUGGAGUUCGAUGCCUGCACCUUCAAAGACUCAUCUUUAGUUUGGUCUGGGCACAAGAGUUUGAGUCAGACCUUAUUUCCUGUUCAUAACUAGCUGGCAGAAGAAUGAGCCAAAGUACGUGCAGCAUCCCAGGUAUUUUCCUCUGACGUUCUCUGACUAAGUUAUGAUAUUACAAACAGAAAUUAAGUUUCACGUCCUUGUUAUUUUGCUGCUAAGUCUGCCAGGACUUGGCAGAAGGGAGAAGAGCAGCUGUUUCUCAGGGUGAUGAAGGAGGCUGGGGCAUCACUAAUCUGUUGUUUUCUUUCAGCCUUGACUGCAACAUUCACCCAAAGCAAAGUAAGCACAGCCCAACCACAUGUAAGGAAGUCCUCAUGAAUGUCACUUAUCAAAUAGGCUCCUGAAUAUUUAAGCACACACAUUUAUGUAUAUGUAUGUAUUUGUACAUAUGUGUAUUUACUGGGGGGGUUGUGGGGGAAGGAGGUGGCUAUA
Molecule: non-coding RNA, 2971 nt
Organism: Meleagris gallopavo (turkey)
Lineage: Eukaryota; Metazoa; Chordata; Aves; Galliformes; Phasianidae
Source: RefSeq, a predicted model, not a curated record